GUGAGUCAUCGAAUCUUUGAACGCAUAUUGCGCUCGAGACCUCGGUCAAGAGCAUGUCUGGCUCAGCGUCGUUUCACCCACUCGCCACCUUUUCCCUCUUCUCUCGAAGAAGGGCGGUCUAGAAAGGCGGACCUGGCUUUCCCCGUGACUCUUGGGACGAACGGGGUCGGCUGAAGAACAGAGGCUUGAGCAUGGCGCCGCACGAUGGCAGCCGGCUUGGUAGGUGGCUCACGCUACAUGCCGCCGGAGGCCGCAGCGCCAUGUUGUAAGGCCCGCAGGAACCGGCCCUCGCGGUCGGAC
This 300-nucleotide unclassified non-coding RNA is filed under the name uncultured fungus. RNAcentral's name for it is "sequence contains 5.8S rRNA gene, ITS2". The stretch from base 1 to 71 matches the Rfam family "5.8S ribosomal RNA", at positions 84 to 154 of the family's 154-position model. Lineage: Eukaryota; Fungi. The record is from RNAcentral.